Molecule: ribosomal RNA, 494 nt
Filed under: uncultured bacterium
Lineage: Bacteria
Description: partial 16S ribosomal RNA
Rfam family: Bacterial small subunit ribosomal RNA
Source: RNAcentral
GACGAACGCUGGCGGCGUGCUUAACAUAUGCAAGUCGAACGGAAAGGCCUGCUUUCCCUUGUGGAUUGCGGGUACUCGAGUGGCGAACGGGUGAGUAACACGUGAGUGAUCUGCCCCCAACUUGGGUAUAAGCCUGGGAAACUGGGUCUAAUUCCCGAUAGGACUGCAGGGUGGUGCCUGUGGUGGAAAACGAUUUUCUAGUGGUUGGGGAUGAGCUCGCGGCCUAUCAGCUUGUUGGUGGGGUAAUGGCCUACCAAGGCGGCGACGGGUAGCCGGCCUGAGAGGGUGGACGGACACAUUGGGACUGAGAGACGGCCCAGACUCCUACGGGAGGCAGCAGUGGGGAAUAUUGCACAAUGGGCGGAAGCCUGAUGCAGCGACGCCGCGUGGGGGAUGACGGCCUUCGGGUUGUAAACUCCUUUCGACCGCGAGGAAGCCACCUGGUUGGAAGGGUGGUGACGGUAGUGGUAGAAGAAGCACCGGCUAACUACGUG